ACAUCCUUCUGACCGACUUCUUAAUCGAGUCUUUCCUUCGGGACAGAAGUGACAGGUGGUGCAUGGUUGUCGUCAGCUCGUGUCGUGAGAUGUUGGGUUAGUCCGCAACGAGCGCAACCUUAUCUUUAGUAGCCAGCAUUUCGGAUGGGAACUCUAGAGAGACUGCCGGGGACAACUCGGAGGAAGGUGGGGAUGACGUCAAAUCAUCAUGCCCCUUAUGAUUUGGGCUACACACGUGCUACAAUGGCGGAUACAAAGGGAAGCGACAGAGUGAUCUCAAGCAAACCCCAAAAAGUCCGUCCCAGUUCGGAUUGUAGUCUGCAACUCGACUACAUGAAGUUGGAAUCGCUAGUAAUCGUAGAUCAGCAUGCUACGGUGAAUACGUUCCCGGGCCUUGUACACACCGCCCGUCACACCACGGAAGUCGGGAGCGCCCAACGCCAGUGACCUAACCUUCGGGGAGGAGCUGUCUAAGGCGAAAUCGAUGACUGGGGUGAAGUCGUAACAAGGUAGCCGUAUCGGAAGGUGCGGCUGGAUCACCUCCUUU
RNAcentral lists this ribosomal RNA (547 nucleotides) under uncultured bacterium. RNAcentral describes it as "bacterial SSU rRNA". It matches the Rfam family "Bacterial small subunit ribosomal RNA", at positions 984 to 1533 of the family's 1533-position model. The record is from RNAcentral.